ACGCUCGACACCUACGGGAUGCAGCAGUUGGGAAUAUUGGACAAUGGAGGAAACUCUGAUCCAGUGACGCCGCGUGAAGGAAGAAGGUCUUCGGAUUGUAAACUUAUUUUGUCAGGGAAGAAAAAAUGACUGUACCUGAAGAAAAAGCACCGGCUAACUACGUACCAGCAGCCGCGGUAAUCUGAGCGGGCUGGCAAGGC
RNAcentral lists this ribosomal RNA (200 nucleotides) under uncultured bacterium. RNAcentral describes it as "partial 16S ribosomal RNA". It matches the Rfam family "Bacterial small subunit ribosomal RNA", at positions 326 to 539 of the family's 1533-position model. The record is from RNAcentral.